Molecule: long non-coding RNA, 215 nt
Filed under: Pan troglodytes (chimpanzee)
Lineage: Eukaryota; Metazoa; Chordata; Mammalia; Primates; Hominidae
Description: long non-coding RNA NONPTRT013551
Source: RNAcentral
UUCUGGAAAACACGUCGUGGUAGGAAGACCAUUUACCACAGUGAGGAGCUCAACAUAACAGGGAAAAGGAGCACAGGAUGCAGCUACUUCGAGGGUGUUGAUUGAAAACUUCGAUCUCCCCACCCCAUCAUUGAUGGUUGAUUUGACGGAUUUCUCACCUCUUUCACAGAGAAAAUUUCAAUUAAGGUAAGUGCUGCUUUAUCCGGGUGACUGCA